Molecule: small RNA, 148 nt
Filed under: Papio anubis (olive baboon)
Lineage: Eukaryota; Metazoa; Chordata; Mammalia; Primates; Cercopithecidae
Description: Metazoan signal recognition particle RNA (ENSPANG00000047390.1)
Rfam family: Metazoan signal recognition particle RNA
About the family: The signal recognition particle (SRP) is a universally conserved ribonucleoprotein.
Source: Rfam by way of RNAcentral
GCUGGGUGUGGUGGCGCACACCUGUAAUCCCAGCUAUUCGGGAGGCUGAGGUAGAAGAAUCACUUGAACCCAGGAGGCAGAGGUUGCAGUGAACUGAGAUCAUGCCACUGUACUCCAGCCUGGGUGACAGAGUGAGACUCCAUCUCAA